GCGACCCCAGGAUGGGCGG
Molecule: ribosomal RNA, 19 nt
Filed under: Diuris aff. ochroma CANB634123
Lineage: Eukaryota; Viridiplantae; Streptophyta; Magnoliopsida; Asparagales; Orchidaceae
Also listed under: 1 other name
Description: partial 26S ribosomal RNA
Source: RNAcentral